This 230-nucleotide unclassified non-coding RNA is filed under the name Vibrio tubiashii. Its description in RNAcentral is "partial miscellaneous RNA". The record is from RNAcentral. Lineage: Bacteria; Pseudomonadati; Pseudomonadota; Gammaproteobacteria; Vibrionales; Vibrionaceae.
UUGCUCUUUAACAAUUUGGAAAGCUGACGAAUAACAACAAUCCCCAUCUCUAUGAGAUGCGUUGUUAUUCAAUUAAAAGUUCUCAAAUCCUAAAACUAUGUUUUAGGUACCAACACACAUUCAAGUGUUCUUGGAAAUUUGAGUCCGGCAAAAUCGUGUCUGCACAUGUAUAAAAAUGCAGACAACUUUGGUUGUUUAAACAGAGACCCUUUGGGGUUGUAUGGUUAAGU